UACGGGGGGGGCAAGCGUUGUUCGGAAUUACUGGGCGUAAAGGGCUCGUAGGCGGUCAACUAAGUCAGAUGUGAAAUCCCUCGGCUUAACCGGGGAACUGCGUCUGAUACUGGAUGACUUGAGAUUGGGAGAGGGAUGCGGAAUUCCAGGUGUAGCGGUGAAAUGCGUAGAUAUCUGGAGGAACACCGGUGGCGAAGGCGAGUCCCUGGACAACACCUGACGCUGAGGCACGAAAGCGAGGGGAGCAAACAGG
RNAcentral lists this ribosomal RNA (253 nucleotides) under uncultured bacterium. RNAcentral's name for it is "partial 16S ribosomal RNA". It matches the Rfam family "Bacterial small subunit ribosomal RNA", at positions 524 to 776 of the family's 1533-position model. The record is from RNAcentral.